CCUACGGGUGGCAGCAGUGAGGAAUAUUGGUCAAUGGGCGCGAGCCUGAACCAGCCAAGUAGCGUGAAGGAUGACUGCCCUACGGGUUGUAAACUUCUUUUAUAAAGGAAUAAAGUGAUGCACGUGUGCCUUUUUGUAUUUACUUUAUGAAUAAGGAUCGGGUAACUCCGUGCCAGCAGCCCCGGUAAUACGGAGGAUCCGAGCGUUAUCCGGAAUUAUUGGGUUUAAAGGGAGCGUAGAUGGGUUGUUAAGUCCGUUGUGAAAGUUUGCGGCUCAACCGUAAAAUUGCAAUUGAUACUGGCAGCCUUGAGUACAGUUGAGGUAGGCGGAAUUCGUGGUGUAGCGGUGAAAUGCUUAGAUAUCACGCAGAACUCCGAUUGCGAAGGCAGCUUACUAAACUGCCACUGACAUUGAUGCUCGAAAGUGUGGGUAUCAAACAGGAUUAGAUACCCCAGUAGUC
RNAcentral lists this ribosomal RNA (460 nucleotides) under uncultured bacterium. RNAcentral's name for it is "partial 16S ribosomal RNA". It matches the Rfam family "Bacterial small subunit ribosomal RNA", at positions 338 to 795 of the family's 1533-position model. The record is from RNAcentral.